AAAUUAAACAAUAGAAGCAAGUCUGACGCAUCCAUAGGGGUGUGUGAAGAAGGGGUAAGGUUAUAAAGCACUUUCAAUGGGAAGGAAAGUUUGUUGUUAAUAGCGGCAAGCCCUUUCAUUACCGUUAAAAGAAGCGCCGGCUAACUCUGUGCCAGCAGCGGCGGUAUUAGGGAGGGAGCGAUCGUUAUUUGGAAUUAGUGGGGGUAAAGCGCGCGUAGGCGGUUUGUUAAGUUGGAUGUGAAAGCCCCGGACUCAACCUAGGAACUGCAUUCGAUACUGGCCGACUAGAGUACGAGAGAGGGAGGUAGAAUUCUACGUGUAGCGGUGAAAUGGGUAAAUAUUUGGAGGAAUACCAGUGGCGAAGGCGGCCUCCUGGCUCGAUACUGGCGCUGAGGUGCGAAAGGGUGGGGAGCAAACAGGAUUAGAUACCUUGGUAGUCCACGCCGUA
This 448-nucleotide ribosomal RNA is filed under the name uncultured marine bacterium. RNAcentral describes it as "bacterial SSU rRNA". It matches the Rfam family "Bacterial small subunit ribosomal RNA", at positions 359 to 804 of the family's 1533-position model. The record is from RNAcentral.